Molecule: non-coding RNA, 46 nt
Organism: Schistosoma mansoni
Lineage: Eukaryota; Metazoa; Platyhelminthes; Trematoda; Strigeidida; Schistosomatidae
Source: Rfam
ACACUACCGAAGAGUCCCAUACUAGGACGAAACGAGCGUCCAGUGU